AUGCAACUUGGCACUUUUAAUGUCGAAUCUGGAUUCACUAAGAUAGAAAUAAAGCAUUGGGUCGAACUCUUCUUUGGUGUUAAGGUGGUAGCUGUGAAUAGCCAUCGACUACCUGGAAAAAUAGAAGAAUAG
RNAcentral lists this ribosomal RNA (132 nucleotides) under Triticum aestivum (bread wheat). Its description in RNAcentral is "partial small subunit ribosomal RNA". The record is from RNAcentral. Lineage: Eukaryota; Viridiplantae; Streptophyta; Magnoliopsida; Poales; Poaceae.